AGUCUUAUAGCUCAAUUGGAUAGAGCGUCGGUUUACGGCACCGAAGGUUGAAGGUUCGAGUCCUUCUGAGAUUACAA
RNAcentral lists this transfer RNA (77 nucleotides) under Chryseobacterium contaminans. Its description in RNAcentral is "tRNA-Arg". It matches the Rfam family "tRNA". Rfam says of the family: Transfer RNA (tRNA) molecules are approximately 80 nucleotides in length. Their secondary structure includes four short double-helical elements and three loops (D, anti-codon, and T loops). The record is from RNAcentral. Lineage: Bacteria; Pseudomonadati; Bacteroidota; Flavobacteriia; Flavobacteriales; Weeksellaceae.